This 477-nucleotide ribosomal RNA is filed under the name uncultured bacterium. RNAcentral describes it as "bacterial SSU rRNA". It matches the Rfam family "Bacterial small subunit ribosomal RNA", at positions 335 to 798 of the family's 1533-position model. The record is from RNAcentral.
ACUCCUACGGGAGGCAGCAGUGGGGAAUAUUGGACAAUGGGGGCGAACCCUGAUCCAGCCAUGCCGCGUGUGUGAAGAAGGCCUUUUGGUUGUAAAGCACUUUAAGCAGUGAAGAAGACUCCAUGGUUAAUACCCAUGGACGAUGACAUUAGCUGCAGAAUAAGCACCGGCUAACUCUGUGCCAGCAGCCGCGGUAAUACAGAGGGGUGCAAGCGUUAAUCGGAAUUACUGGGGCGUAAAGCGAGCGUAGGUGGCUUGAUAAGUCAGAUGUGAAAGCCCCGGGCUUAACCUGGGAACGGCAUCUGAUACUGUUAGGCUAGAGUAGGUGAGAGGAAGGUAGAAUUCCAGGUGUAGCGGUGAAAUGCGUAGAGAUCUGGAGGAAUACCGAUGGCGAAGGCAGCCUUCUGGCAUCAUACUGACACUGAGGUUCGAAAGCGUGGGGUAGCAAACAGGAUUAGAUACCCUGGUAGCGACUGA